AGCUGAGCUACGGCCCCUAAAUCAGGAUAAAGCGUUUAAAACGAUCAAAAGAGGGAUUACAAAAUCUAUAUAACUCAAAGCGAUAUGAUUGAACCGAUAGUUUCAUAUAGGCAUUGACGUCUAUGAGCAUUUGGAAUUUAUAUCAACCAAAUGGACGCUGUAAAAAUCACUUUGCAAGGAAUUUUGACUCCUUAGUAUUUAGCAUUUGAACUGUUUUUUUGCCAUUAAUUUGCUUUAACUUUGGAUUACUCACACAAAAGCAAUAAGCCUGCCAAUUUUGAUAAGCUUUUUAGAAGCAAUCUUUUUAGAAGUACUUAUUUUUUAAAAGCACUUAUGAAAGUAAUGGAUAAACUGGUGGGCCUGGGAGGACUUGAACCUCCGACCUCACGCUUAUCAAGCGCGCGCUCUAACCAACUGAGCUACAAGCCCUCCGGGAUAAACCGGAAAACCUUCCCCGGCAUCCUCUUAUAAAACGCUUAAAUUUUAUCAAGGAAAGCGUUUUUCAAAGCCCACGGUGGA
This 519-nucleotide unclassified non-coding RNA is filed under the name uncultured Bartonella sp. RNAcentral describes it as "partial 16S-23S ribosomal RNA intergenic spacer". The record is from RNAcentral. Lineage: Bacteria; Pseudomonadati; Pseudomonadota; Alphaproteobacteria; Hyphomicrobiales; Bartonellaceae.